RNAcentral lists this unclassified non-coding RNA (392 nucleotides) under soil metagenome. RNAcentral describes it as "partial contains 5.8S ribosomal RNA, internal transcribed spacer 2, and large subunit ribosomal RNA". The stretch from base 1 to 122 matches the Rfam family "5.8S ribosomal RNA", at positions 35 to 154 of the family's 154-position model. The record is from RNAcentral.
GAUGAAGAACGUAGCGAAAUGCGAUACUUGGUGUGAAUUGCAGAAUCCCGUGAACCAUCGAGUCUUUGAACGCAAGUUGCGCCCGAAGCCAUCAGGUUGAGGGCACGUCUGCCUGGGCGUCACAUAUCGUUGCUCGAUGCCUAUCGCAUUGCGAUAGGACUUAGGGCGAAUGAUGGCUUCCCGUGAGCGUUGUUGCCUCGCGGUUGAUUGAAAAUCGAGUCCUUGGUAGGGUGUGCCAUGAUAGAUGGUGGUCGAGUUAGCACGAGUCCGAUCAUGUGCAUGCUCCCCAAAAUAUGGCCUCUGUGACCCACACGCGUCUUUUGACGCUCAUGACGAGACCUCAGGUCAGGCGGGGCUACCCGCUGAAUUUAAGCAUAUCAAUAAGCGGAGGA